CCUACGGGGAGCAGCAGUGAGGAAUAUUGGUCAAUGGCCGGAAGCCUGAAGCAGCCAUGCCGCGUGAAGGUCAGUGCCCUACGGGCGUUAAACUUCUUUUGUGCGGGAGCAAUAGUGGCCACGCGUGGCAAGACGAGAGUAACGUACGCUUAAGCAUCGGCUAACUCCGUGCCAGCAGCCGCGGCCAUACGGGGGAUGCAAGCGGUAACCGGAUUUAUCGGGUUUAAAGGGUGCGUAGGCUGUGCGGUAAGUUAGCGGGGCAGUGCCACGGCGUAAAGGGGUGAAGUGCCAUUGAUACUGGCAAGCUGGAGUGCGGGAGACGAUGGAGGAAUGUGUGGUGUAGGGGUGAAAUGCGUAGAUAUCAGGCGGAACACCGGUUGCGAAGGCGACUCACGGGUCCGCAACUGACGCUGAGGAGCGAAAGCGUGGGUAGCAAACAGGAUUAGAUACCCGGGUAGUC
Molecule: ribosomal RNA, 460 nt
Filed under: uncultured bacterium
Lineage: Bacteria
Description: partial 16S ribosomal RNA
Rfam family: Bacterial small subunit ribosomal RNA
Source: RNAcentral